RNAcentral lists this ribosomal RNA (343 nucleotides) under Arabidopsis thaliana (thale cress). Lineage: Eukaryota; Viridiplantae; Streptophyta; Magnoliopsida; Brassicales; Brassicaceae. The record is from RNAcentral.
CGGACCCAAAAUUACUUGUUCAAGCAUUGUUUUCGAAUUUUUUCAUGCAUCAAAGCUCGUUAAGACUAGAUGGGGUAUCCCUACAUAGCGGGUGGGACCCACGGCGAAUGGUUCAUCAAGUCUUCAAAAAAGAAUAUAUACGAUUGCAUUGCAUAUACUAACGGAUGCGAUCAUACCAGCACUAAUGCACCGGAUCCCAUCAGAACUCCGCAGUUAAGCGUGCUUGGGCGAGAGUAGUACUAGGAUGGGUGACCUCCCGGGAAGUCCUCGUGUUGCAUCCCUCUUUUAUGUUUAACCUUUUUUUUUUUGGUUAAAACUUUAUGACUCCAUAACUUCUAGACAG